AAGGAAUACCUGAUUAUUCCGUUUUCUAUAAAACGAACCAAAUUUCAAACAUUCAAAUCACGACCGCUUUUACGAACUCCUCAAUCAUAACAUAUGAAACGUUAUUUCUUGGAACAAGCAAAAUUGGCGGCUGUUUCAAGUUCUUGUCGGUUGCGAAAACAAAUCAAAAAUUCUUAAUACUAUAAAAUAUUUUUAACAAGUUCCAGAAUUAAUUGAAAAAAGUUGAACAUAUAUUCGAACUGAAGUCAUGAAACACGUAUCAAGUAUCACGAAUCACGAAUCAUGAAUCACGAAACACGAAUUUUUUGGAGGAAGAUACAUACCAGCCUUAAAACCAAAUCCAAUUGAAAAAACACAAGCCGCUAAAAAAACGAUCCGACCACCGACUCGUCUCUUGCAAAAGUAACCAAUGAACAAGAAAACUUGUGUCGUUCUUUCAAAAUUAAUAUAAAUACAUUUGGCAGCCCAUACUCAAAUUUGCGUGAUGUAACUAUAUUAAUUUGGUUUAGACUUUUUGGACACAAAUGAAUUUCACAAGGGGAUAAAUCGGAUUAGCACACUAUUUAAUAGUUAUUUCUUGGAACAAGCAAAAUUGGCGGCUGUUUCAAGUUCUUGUCGGUUGCGAAAACAAAUCAAAAAUUCUUAAUACUAUAAAAUAUUUUUAACAAGUUCCAGAAUUAAUUGAAAAAAGUUGAACAUAUAUUCGAACUGAAGUCAUGAAACACGUAUCAAGUAUCACGAAUCACGAAUCAUGAAUCACGAAACACGAAUUUUUUGGAGGAAGAUACAUACCAGCCUUAAAACCAAAUCCAA
Teleopsis dalmanni is the source of this 813-nucleotide long non-coding RNA. RefSeq lists it as uncharacterized. Lineage: Eukaryota; Metazoa; Arthropoda; Insecta; Diptera; Diopsidae. The record is from RefSeq and is a predicted model, not a curated record. The transcript has 3 exons.